Molecule: ribosomal RNA, 253 nt
Filed under: uncultured bacterium
Lineage: Bacteria
Description: partial 16S ribosomal RNA
Rfam family: Bacterial small subunit ribosomal RNA
Source: RNAcentral
UACGGGGGGGGCAAGCGUUGUUCGGAAUUACUGGGCGUAAAGGGCUCGUAGGCGGCCAACUAAGUCAGACGUGAAAUCCCUCGGCUUAACCGGGGAACUGCGUCUGAUACUGGAUGGCUUGAGUUUGGGAGAGGGAUGCGGAAUUCCAGGUGUAGCGGUGAAAUGCGUAGAUAUCUGGAGGAACACCGGUGGCGAAGGCGGCAUUCUGGACUGUAACUGACACUGAGGAACGAAAGCCAGGGGAGCAAACGGG